GACGAACGCUGGCGGCGUGCCCAAUACAUGCAAGUUGAGCGCUGAAGGUUGGUACUUGUACCAACUGGAUGAGCAGCGAACGGGUGAGUAACGCGUGGGGAAUCUGCCUUUGAGCGGGGGACAACAUUUGGAAACGAAUGCUAAUACCGCAUAAAAACUUUAAACACAAGUUUUAAGUUUGAAAGAUGCAAUUGCAUCACUCAAAGAUGAUCCCGCGUUGUAUUAGCUAGUUGGUGAGGUAAAGGCUCACCAAGGCGAUGAUACAUAGCCGACCUGAGAGGGUGAUCGGCCACAUUGGGACUGAGACACGGCCCAAACUCCUACGGGAGGCAGCAGUAGGGAAUCUUCGGCAAUGGACGAAAGUCUGACCGAGCAACGCCGCGUGAGUGAAGAAGGUUUUCGGAUCGUAAAACUCUGUUGGUAGAGAAGAACGUUGGUGAGAGUGGAAAGCUCAUCAAGUGACGGUAACUACCCAGAAAGGGACGGCUAACUACGUG
RNAcentral lists this ribosomal RNA (497 nucleotides) under uncultured bacterium. RNAcentral describes it as "partial 16S ribosomal RNA". It matches the Rfam family "Bacterial small subunit ribosomal RNA", at positions 28 to 507 of the family's 1533-position model. The record is from RNAcentral.